Molecule: ribosomal RNA, 792 nt
Filed under: Aegilips sp. ZJUH 20220002
Lineage: Eukaryota; Metazoa; Arthropoda; Insecta; Hymenoptera; Figitidae
Description: 12S ribosomal RNA
Source: RNAcentral
AAUAAAUUUAAUUUAUAUUUAGAAUUAAUUUAAAAGAUUAUAAUAGUAUGAAAAGUUUAAUUUAUUAAAGUAUUAAAUUAAUAAGAUUAUUUAAUAAUUAAAAUUAAUAAAUAAAAGAAAUUUUAUUUUGUAAAUUUUUUUAAUUUAUAAAUUUAAAAAGUGCCAGCAAUAGCGGUUAAACUUUUUAUAUAAAAUUAAUUAUAAAAAUUGUUAAUUAAAUUAUUAAAUUAAUUAAUUUAUUAAGUAUUAAAAUUAUGAUAAAAUAUUAAAUUUAAUAAUUUAUAAAUUAAUUUUUUUAUUAAUUGAAAUUUAAUAAAAUUGAUUAAAUAAACUAGGAUUAGAUACCCUAUUAUAAGAUAGUAAAUAAAUUAUAUUUAUAAAUUAAAAUUAUAUUUAAAUAUAUAAAUUUGGCGGUGUUUUAUUUUGUUCAGGGGAAUUUGUAAAUUAAUUGAUAUUCCACGAUAAGAAGUAUAUUUAAUUAAAUAUUUUUAUGUAUAUUCGUUUUAAAAUUUUUUUAAAUGAAUAAUUAUUUAAAUAUUUUUUAAAUAAUAAUUCAGAUAAAUAUGUAAUUUUAAAUAAAUUUAUGAAUUACAAUAAAAUUUUUUAUAUUUAAUUUAUUUUAAAAUAAAUUAAUAUUAGGAUUUGAAAGUAAAAUUAAUUAAUUAAUUAAUUUGAUUAUAAUUUUAAAAUAUGUACAAAUUGCCCGUCAAUUUUAUUUAAUUAUUUAUAUAAAUAAUUGAAUUAAAUAAGUCGUAACAAAGUAAAAUUACUGGAAAGUGUUUUUAGAAGUUU